GCAGUGGCGGUUCAGGUGUAGAGUCCUGGCCUUCCAUGCAGGACACCUGGGUUCGAUUCCCGGCCAGUGCA
Molecule: transfer RNA, 71 nt
Filed under: Loxodonta africana (African savanna elephant)
Lineage: Eukaryota; Metazoa; Chordata; Mammalia; Proboscidea; Elephantidae
Rfam family: tRNA
About the family: Transfer RNA (tRNA) molecules are approximately 80 nucleotides in length. Their secondary structure includes four short double-helical elements and three loops (D, anti-codon, and T loops). Further hydrogen bonds mediate the characteristic L-shaped molecular structure. tRNAs have two regions of fundamental functional importance: the anti-codon, which is responsible for specific mRNA codon recognition, and the 3' end, to which the tRNAs corresponding amino acid is attached (by aminoacyl-tRNA synthetases). tRNAs cope with the degeneracy of the genetic code in two manners: having more than one tRNA (with a specific anti-codon) for a particular amino acid; and 'wobble' base-pairing, i.e. permitting non-standard base-pairing at the 3rd anti-codon position.
Source: Rfam by way of RNAcentral